Molecule: non-coding RNA, 3173 nt
Organism: Aegilops tauschii subsp. strangulata
Lineage: Eukaryota; Viridiplantae; Streptophyta; Magnoliopsida; Poales; Poaceae
Source: RefSeq, a predicted model, not a curated record
AUUUUCCCCAUCUCCCAUUUUCUCUUCCCUGAGUGGCGGGUAGGGUUAGCGCGAUCGCCGCCUCAUCCCCGCACGCAACCUCUCCUUUCGGCUCUCCUCCGCGGCUCCGCCUCCUCCUCUGGCGGCAUCCAACCCAUCGUCUUCUCCUACUUCCCUCUCUUAUUCUUCUGUGCCUCGACGAGGUGGGCAAGCCGGUGCACACACAAAGGGUGGUUGCGGCUGUGGCUCCGAUGCGGGCGCCGUGGAGGUGGAGUCGGAGCUGCAGCAGAAGGAGGUGGACGGCCGCGACAACAGCUUUAGCUUCGAUGAGUUCCAUCACCUCCAUUGCUAUCUCAGGUUAGCCGAUUAAUGUAUUUGAUUGCUGGCCCUUUUGUGUUGGCUGAUGGUGGCGAGAUGAAAUAAGAAUUAAACCUGAUGCUGGGACAAUAAGUAUUUGUACUAUAGAUCCACUAAAGAUUGUAUUGAAAUAGCAGGCUACAUAUCUAUCUAAUAUGCAUCUGUGGUACAAGGUGAAUCUUGUUUCCUGAUAGAGAACAAUAAAGAUAAGUUGGUGACACAAAGUACUGAAUAAAAAACACUUCUAAUGAUCUAUAUAAUGUGAAAUCUUUUUUUAUGUGUAGAUUUAUCGAAUAAUAUCAUAAUUCUGAUAUGUAGUUUCCUCCUGUUGGGUAUCUCACGUAGCAUGAUAUGAAGCUUCUGAAUAAUUGGUUGCAGAGUUAUCGUAUGUGUCUUGGAGUUCCAAACUUCACAUUCAUUGAGCUUAAUUUUUAUAUAUCGCUUAUGUCUUUCCAGUCAUGCAGUCGCAGGUUCUCCAUUUCAUGAUUUUAAUAGUUGACGGGGUGAGAAAUUUCAUGGCAAGAGCCAUGGUUUAUCUCAGAUGUGUAAAGGGAAAUAUAUUUGUUGACCCAAAAAUCACACUAUACUGUUGCAAUUUCUCUGUUGAAAAGGUAUGCAGAAGCCAAUAGUACACAAAAUAUUUCUGUCGCCUAGAGAUUUACUGGUUGUCUAAAAAAGCACCCAAAACUGAUUGAAAAAGAAAUAGAUGCUGCUAAGUUGCAUCCAUUUGAUAUUUAGGGAUGUCGCAAGAUUGUACAUAUUCAGUUCCAAUAAGAAUAACAUUUAUCCCAACCUAUGUCUUUGCAGUGCCUUGACUAUAGCAAAAUUGGCCUCCCGUGCUAUGAUGACGCGAAGAAUGGGACAAUUUGCUCGAUCAGUUUCAAAUCAGAAACAAGAAAUUUGAGAAAUUCGUUGGAUAAGUACUAAUAUGGUGCUUUUCUAAGAAAAUUAUAUGAUUAUUAAUGCAGGUCCAUGCUCUACUCUGAUGGCUGAGGUUGGAUACACUUGCUACAUGUUUAUUUAAUUUUAUUCUAUUGGAGGAUUCAAACUCUAGACUGAUGAAGUGGUGCAUUUUGAAUUUUCUUCUUAGAUAUUGUGAAUGGUCUACUGAAGGUAUCAAUAAUAAUACAUAGUUUACAUAGUCAAGAUUCAUACUUUCCUUAUUACAUGUUGGUUUAUAUCCCCUACAUAUGUGAUGUGUGUUUAGCUUAUCAACUAUUCUUAAGUGAAUCUUAUGUGGUAUUGCAGGACUAACUUUUCUUUAGACAAUUUUGUAAUCUUUAGUUCAUUUUGGGUCAUUUCCAUUGCCUGUUAGUGUUUUUCGCUAGAGUGCUUUGCAGGCAGUUGUUUGAAAUAGAACCUUCCAGCCAUCUUACUUCUCCAAUAGUACUUUCUUGUUGAGUUUGGUUGGAUGUUCUCCAAAGUAAAUUUGGGAGAACAAUAAACCAUACUUUCUAUGUUUUGAAACUAGAGCUGGCCAUGAUUAAUUCUUUUCAAGUUGAUAGUCUAUCAGAGUUUGAAUUUGCUUUUGUAUAGAAAUAUGGAAGUAUAUUAUUUCAUCAUAUUUUUCCUAAAGUAGCUUCUGAUUUGUUCACAUUUGUAGAACUACACAAUCUGCACAUUCCUUCUCUUCUCCUAAUCAAUUUCAUCUCAAAUUAGGCUUUAUCCCCUGAUUAGCAUUCUGAGCUACUUAAAUUUCUUCGCCCACAUGUUUGAUUUAGGUUUUUGUUUAGACAUGACAAAUGUUUGCAAGUUAUAGACGCCGCGCCUGCCGCUGUCGGGGAGCUCCUGCCUGCGCUGCAAGCCUCAUGACCUUGCAAACUCGCUUGUGCUGCUUAAACGAUACGGCCUCUCCCUACUCAGGAUGGACUGCUUCGUGUAGAUUCACUCUUCUUUGCCUGAAGGCUCCUGUGUAUCCAGGACCGGCACAAGGAAAAUUCUGGGAUGAAUAAAAAAAAGCGAAAAUGCAAAUAGAUGAGAAAUCCCAACUUAUUCCUUUGGCCAUUUCUGUAACUAAAGCUAUUGGCUGGCCAACACAAAGGAGCUGAAAUUUCAUAGCGACAAAAAUAGGUGCUGGAGGUACCAUGCAAGCAAGCAUGGCGACCGGGAUCAUGCUGCAGUGGCUGGGUAUAUCCCCUCCCGCUAGCUGAGGAUGGGCUCGAUCAUGGUGCUCCUACCCUUACACAUGUAUAUUCCCACAUUGAACUCGAUUAUUGCAAUGAUUGGGUUGAUUUGGACAUACUGUGCCUUGAAUGACUUUUCCCGUUGGGCAAUUCAAAUGAUGGAAGCCUCUUCGGACCCUUCCACCUCUCCGGCCUCACCACUGGAGACUCGGAUGCGAGAACCGCCACCGCCGCUGCCGUGUCUGUCGGUGACGCUCACACAAGAAUCCAGAGGCAGUACCUUGGUCCUCUCCCUGAGAACAACAGCUCUCUCAUGAUGCGCAGUCGCGGCCUGAGGGUGGCGGGACUCACGCCACCGUCCAUGCCAUGUUCUGGCUGAUCCCCAAGGCUCCUUGCCGAUGUCCAACCAGCGCCACACAGCCAAUGGUACUGCCGAUAUGAGGACGCUCACCCCCGUGUUGAUCGAGCUUUUUGACCUGAGCCUGAUGGACAAGGUCAUACGGGCAUCUGAUUUUGAUUUCCUAUGUGCUCUCUUUUCACAAGUGUAGCUUUUUGUGUUAUAAAACUAUGCUACCGAUUGUUCUUUGUUGAUAUUUCCCUACUUGUGUCCUGAUUAAUGGAUCUAAGGUAGUUAGAAGUCACUGAAUAACUACUUAUACUAUUGUGUCAGCCGUCACUGGCUACAAUUGUUUAUAUGAUACUUGUACUAUUAUA